ACAAAUGAAAUUAUAUGCUAUUAUUGCUUGCGCGUAUUAUCGUUUCAUGCAGAAGCGGGUUUGUGUUCAGGAACAAUAUAAUGGAGGUAAUAUUUGCUGGCUUAAUUUGCUUUGUUUGGAAUCUAUAUUAGUACUUAUUAUUUUCUAAAGAAUCACACACACACCCAAAUACAACUCUUUUUGAGAGACUAAGUUNNNNNNNNNNNNNNNNNNNNNNNUUGAAAUUCUCUUGGAUAGCCAGAAAAAUUAUUUAUCUUCUUAAUUUCUCAAAUUAUUGUUUUUUUCCUUAUUAUAAAGGGUCAAUUCGUCUCUGAGUUCUUUUCAUUUUGUACCUCUAAUGUGUGUCCUCUUUUUUAAUUUGCACCAUAUCCUACCUUUUUAAUGAUUUGCAUCCUAUCUUUUUGGUUCUUUUUCCCUCCCUUAUUUGUUUUUAAAAGAAUAGCUAUUAUUAUUCUUUAUUGUGUAUAACAAUGGAGAACUGAAAAGUGUGCAUCACCUUUCAAGUGUUUUCCGCCUUCUCCUCUUCAUCACCGUAUUCUUCGUUUGAGCAUUUGUUAUUCACUUGAUUUAGUUUAUAUGCAAGGACCAGGUGGAAGGAAGCAGAACAUGCAGAUAAACAGUUCAGUAUGUAGUGCUCUGUCAUUUAUUCUAAAAGCACCAAAUCAAUACGGUCAAGCUACUUUGAUACAGGAAUUGAUGCAUUUUCUUGAAUUCGAUCCUCAUGUCUUUGCUCAUUUCAGAUAGAGAUAAAACGCAUGGUGUGCGCGUCCAUAAAUUUUGUAUUAGAAAAUGACAUUUGUUUUUAUUAUCAUUUAUCCAUUUCGUAAACAAUUUUUAGUAGUACAUCUUAUUUCGGAAUUACACCAAAUAUAUAUGUUUUGACAUGGAGGAAAGAUUUGUGUACUCCAGUUUAUUUUUUGUAGAGCCCUAGCAAAUUUUGCAAAAAGAAAUAACUUGAUGCAAAUUGAUUAUCGGUCUUUUG
This 982-nucleotide long non-coding RNA is filed under the name Nicotiana tabacum (common tobacco). RNAcentral's name for it is "long non-coding RNA (NTAB_LNC000347)". Lineage: Eukaryota; Viridiplantae; Streptophyta; Magnoliopsida; Solanales; Solanaceae. The record is from RNAcentral.